AAUUAUUGGGCGUAAAGGGCUCGCAGGGGUUUCUUAAGUCUGAUGUGAAAGCCCCCGGCUCAACCGGGGAGGGUCAUUGGAAACGGGUUGAGUGCAGAAGAGGAGAGUGGAAUUCCACGUGUAGCGGUGAAAUGCGUAGAGAUGUGGAGGAACACCAGUGGCGAAGGCGACUCUCUGGUCUGUAACUGACGCUGAGGAGCGAAAGCGUGGGGAGCGAACAGGAUUAGAUACCCUGGUAGUCCACGCCGUAAACGAUGAGUGCUAAGUGUUAGGGGGUUUCCGCCCCUUAGUGCUGCAGCUAACGCAUUAAGCACUCCGCCUGGGGAGUACGGUCGCAGACUGAAACUCAAAGGAAUUGGGGGCCCGACAAGCGGUGGAGCAUGUGGUUUA
Molecule: ribosomal RNA, 390 nt
Filed under: Bacillus subtilis
Lineage: Bacteria; Bacillati; Bacillota; Bacilli; Caryophanales; Bacillaceae
Description: bacterial SSU rRNA
Rfam family: Bacterial small subunit ribosomal RNA
Source: RNAcentral